Molecule: long non-coding RNA, 871 nt
Filed under: Mus spicilegus (steppe mouse)
Lineage: Eukaryota; Metazoa; Chordata; Mammalia; Rodentia; Muridae
Description: lncRNA (ENSMSIG00000011071.1)
Source: RNAcentral
GGGAGGGAGGGCAGGUGACGUCAGGACUGCAGUCCGGAGGAGAGCGACGGGAGAGGGCUGUGCGCUCCUUGCUAAGGAUGCUGGAGGCGCACUCGGGCAGCCACCGCUCCCGCGCUCCUCCCUGUCACGAUGCGCGCCCGCGGGGGAGCCUCGCCAACCUCCAGGUGACUUGAAAGUCGUCUCCCCAGGAGGACGGAGAGGGUGCUGCAGUCCUGGCAUGCACUAAAACUGCAAGUCCGACAGAAACAGCCCAGUCGAGGAGCGAGGCACACGGGGCGCAGUGCCCCAGCACAGCAUCCCAGGGCUGCUAAAGGUAGAAGAGGCUCAAGCUUGCAAUAAGAUCUCCGUGCUGGACCCGGACACAGGGCACUCUUGCCACCGAAAGACCCAUUUUUCCCUUCUUGCGCAUUUCGCAGUCGUAGCUGGCCUGGGGAAUGCGAGCAUGAUGGAGGCUUCCUUCGGGUCGCCCAGAAGCAGCUGCCAGUGGGAGAGCUAGCGGAGAGGAGCGGGGGCGGCAGCCUCGGCCGAAGUAAGUGCAGCAGAAGUUUGCGUCGCUUCCCCUGCCGCUCCCCUUGAGCGAGUGGGUAACACAUCUCCUCCCUCUGGCUCCCAGAAACCCGAAGGGAGACUUAUCAAGGAGUCUCUGAGCGGGAAAGCAAUCCUCUCCAGAGGAGUGCGACCAGCCCGCCCCCUAGUGGCGAACUUGAAGUUUUCCUUCCGUGACCUGGCUGUUGCAGAGCAGAUGUUUUUCAGCAGCUGGUUCUGGCCAGGCUCACUGCAGUCUGCAAGUAUCCAUAUAUGCAAGCACUCAUAUUCACAGAGCUGGCAGGUCCAACAAAGAAGGUCCAGAUCACAAGUAUGUGGUUGGUGA